CACGUAGGGGGCGAGCGUUGUCCGGAAUUACUGGGCGUAAAGGGCGCGCAGGCGGCCUGCCAAGUCAGAUGUGAAAUGCCAUGGCUUAACCAUAGACGUGCAUUUGAAACUGGUGGGCUUGAGUACCAGAGGGGAAGGUGGAAUUCCCGGUGUAGAGGUGAAAUUCGUAGAUAUCGGGAGGAAUACCGGUGGCGAAGGCGACUUUCUGGCUGGAUACUGACGCUGAGGCGCGAAAGCGUGGGGAGCAAACAGGAUUAGAUACCCCCGUAGUCCCUGA
RNAcentral lists this ribosomal RNA (277 nucleotides) under uncultured prokaryote. RNAcentral describes it as "partial 16S ribosomal RNA". It matches the Rfam family "Bacterial small subunit ribosomal RNA", at positions 524 to 800 of the family's 1533-position model. The record is from RNAcentral.